GAUGUGAGGGCAAUCUGGCUGCGACAUCUGUCACCCCAUUGAUCGCCAGGGUUGAUUCGGCUGAUCUGGCUGGCUAGGCGGGUGCGCCCUUCCUCCCUCGCCGCUCCAUGUGCGUCCCUCCCGAAGCUGCGCGCUCGUGUAGGGAGAGAGUGU
Non-coding RNA from Vicugna pacos (alpaca), 153 nucleotides. The record is from RefSeq and is a predicted model, not a curated record. Lineage: Eukaryota; Metazoa; Chordata; Mammalia; Artiodactyla; Camelidae.